CCUACGGGAGGCAGCAGUGGGGAAUUUUGGACAAUGGGCGAAAGCCUGAUCCAGCAAUGCCGCGUGAGUGAAGAAGGCCUUCGGGUUGUAAAGCUCUUUUGUCAGGGAAGAAACGGUGAAAGCUAAUAUCUUUUGCUAAUGACGGUACCUGAAGAAUAAGCACCGGCUAACUACGUGCCAGCAGCCGCGGCAAUACGUAGGGUGCAAGCGUUAAUCGGAAUUACUGGGCGUAAAGCGUGCGCAGGCGGUUUUGUAAGUCUGAUGUGAAAUCCCCGGGCUCAACCUGGGAAUUGCAUUGGAGACUGCAAGGCUAGAAUCUGGCAGAGGGGGGUAGAAUUCCACGUGUAGCAGUGAAAUGCGUAGAUAUGUGGAGGAACACCGAUGGCGAAGGCAGACCCCCUGGGUCAAGAUUGACGCUCAUGCACGAAAGCGUGGGGAGCAAACAGGAUUAGAUACCCUGGUAGUCCACGCCCUAAACGAUGUCUACUAGUUGUCGGGUCUUAAUUGACUUGGUAACGCAGCUAACGCGUGAAAGUAGACCGCCUUGGGGAGUACGGUUGCAAAGNUUAAAACCUUAAAGGAAUUUGACCGGNGNGAGAGNGCGAGACGACGACGAGGGAGAGG
Molecule: ribosomal RNA, 624 nt
Filed under: uncultured bacterium
Lineage: Bacteria
Description: bacterial SSU rRNA
Rfam family: Bacterial small subunit ribosomal RNA
Source: RNAcentral